AAAGAGCAAUAUAUAGCUGGUGGCACACCAUGGAUCCAUCGUGUGACCAAAAGUUGAACAAGUGUAUUAGCUCGACUUCUUUGGUCUCUAAGCAUGUCUGCAAACUGUUUACGGUUGUUAUACUUGUUAAAGUAAGUUUAAAUAUGGAUAUUCAAUCACAGAAGAUAAUAUGGGAACGUUUAUCUUAUACCUCUUCAGAAGCACUGUUGAAUUUCUUGUGUUGAUAAACCUGCUUAACAAAAAGCUCAUAUUCAGGUUAGUUAUUUGAAGUAUACUAUAAUUGUUUAACUUUCUAGUGUUUACCUUUACCUUUGAAUAUGCCUGGUAUGGAGGUUCAUGUAGAUACCGGUUACCAAAUAUGAGCAAAAAGCCAUAAUAGUACAAUGGAUGGAAUGGAAAUAUACAAAAUAUUGUUUAAAUAUUUGAAUAUUGCUAAAAAAAAAGCAAUUGAAUUUUCAAAAUUUUGUACAUAAUAAAAAAACUGGAAUGAUUUAUGAUAACAGGUUUUUUCAAUUGGAAUCACAAUGAUUACACCUUAUGAAGGCACCAUACUAGACAUCACAUUUUUUUCAUGACCACUUUUUUCAACAAGACAGUUUUCCACCAUUUGGCGCUCUACGUUUUUCACCCUUCAAAUAAACCAUGGAGGUUGAUCACCAAUUUCUAUCAAACAUCCUUGGCUAAUCCAAAUGAGAGAAUAGUCCUCUUGACAACAGUGUUUAAUCCUAUUUCCACUCAACAACUAGUAAUGAAAACUUGUUUUAAUCUGCAACUAGAGAAAAUCAUCUUCCGAAAGUACUUGGUAUGACCAAUUCAGUGUCUUGUAGUGGCAAAAACAAUACAAUCAUGAAGGCUGUUCUUGUGGCAUCUUUAUAUCCACAAUAUGGAGAGAAUUUAAAGACUACACAUUUGAAUGAAUCAACUGUUACUGGGAAAGUAGUAGAGGUUUAUCAACCAAGUCAUGAAAAGGUUCAAAAGAUAUGACAAAUAAGCAUAAUAUAGUGCUAAGCAUGUUUUUUCCAUCCUUUGUGGAGAAAACAAACAUGCACCAAUUUAGAAACUCUAAUUUCAAUCCCAUGGAAACAAUAGAGAUAUUAUAGUACAUUACCUAUUUCAUAAGCAAUACAUCCAAUAAAAAUGAUCAAAUUACAUUGCCCUUAAAAAGAUCUUAGUUACUUCAUAAGAUUAGUCUCUACCCUAGUUUUCCAUGAAAAACAAAAUUACAUUGUCAUAUGUGCUCUCAACCUUUAAAUUGCCAUUCCCGACGACACAUUGGGCAAUGUGCUUGUGAGGUUUGAGAAUUCACCCAUUUCAAGAUACAAUGUAAAUGAAAUGCGUGAUUGCAUGCACCCCAAACUGCAAGUAGUGGAAAAAAGAGUUAGAAUACUAAUACAAACAAUUAAAGAAUAUAUUAUUUGAUCUGUCAGGAACUUCAUGAACUCAAAUCUCGAAACAAACAGAAAUACAAAUUAUCGAUGUAUUGAUGCAAUGUUUCAGGGAAAGGAGGAAGACAUCAAGGUGGUGACGACUAAUUUUCAAGGAUGAAUUCAUAGCUCAUAAAAGAAUUGUCAUCUUAUUGCUCCCUUGAAAAAAUCUCAAUCAUGCUGGAAUUGUUUCGAACUCCUUGAGCAUAAAGCUUUAUAAAUAAUCCCCAUGUAUGUCAGUGAUAACACAUCUUAGUAACAGUUUAAACUAAUGCAUAAUCAUAUAUAUAUAUGAAACCACAAAUGAUGUUUAUAAGUAUCCAGGCUUAUCUACAUUCAGUAAAAUUAGAAAGGAACUGAGUGAUUAACUGUCUUGCAUGUAAAGAGCUAAAAAGGCAAUAAAAGGGGAACCAUUGUGUACAAGGUCAAAAACAUACAAAACUUAUAAACAAUGCAAAAUUCAAUGCACACUACAAUGAUUGUUAGUUGAAACCAGUUGGCUGAUUGCAUGAUAGUGUAAUGGCACAAAAAGAACAACAAGAACCCAUAUUAGCAACAAAUUCGAUAGGCCUGCUGCAGAAGAAAGGUCAGUCCAGCAAAUUUUCUUUUUCAAAAAAAGAACAGCGCAUUUUCUCACAUAAGGAGCAAAAUGAGAGACUUUAAAGGGAAUAAAUCACCAACAUAGUCAUCUUAGAGAAGAAUCAACAUAAAUUUUCGGUUAGAAUGAGUCACUCUUUUAUGCCUAUUCUAUUAAGAAGAAUGUUGUGCAUGUGCACCAUAGGAAUGUGUACUUAUUGGUUAUGUUGUAGGCCUAUAUCAACUUGACUGAGACGUGGAACAAAGGCAAGGCCUGGAAUAUUGAUGAAAUUAAUUCAUGCUAGCAUGAUUCUUUAGUCUUUCUCCUACUACUUUUCUUCAGCUCAGUUCACAUUCCCCUGCUUUUUAGGGAAUUUAUUUCAUUACACAGUAUUUUUUUAUCUCUUUCUUUGACGAUUGCAUGAUAGUUUCAUGGUAACAUAUAUAUCACGGUAGUUGGCUGCACGAUACUUUCAAUUUCAUAUAAAUUUAUGUAUAAAUGUUAAAACAAAGGAUUUCAUUCAAUAAAAUAAACAAUCAAAUUUAAAGAACAUAUAAUGUUAGUGCAAAUUUCAAUUACACCAAUACAAAUAAGAGUUUACUAUUUUGCCACGUCACAACACUCUUAUAAGUCUAUUUUGAAAUUAAUUUACGCUCGCAAUGCAUGUCAUUUGAACAUAUUUCAAUGUCAUUUCACAAUUCAGCAGAAUAGGAAAGUGGAGAAACAGGUAUGAACAAUGCAGUUGAGCUUAACUACUUCUUGAGUAGCAUAGAACUCACAAUAUAUAAAAGAUUAUUAGAUCAAGUGAUUAACCAAAGACAAUUAUAUGCUAACUUACUGAGUGGACAGUCAUCCCCAGGAAGUUUACAAUCAGGACAGCAUCCAUCAAAGGCCAUCCUGCAAAUCCCACAUGUUUCAUCCUGUGCAUCCCAAGUUAGGCUGAAAAUUUGAAAUAAAGUUAGUUAUAGAUGAAAAAAGAAGAAGAUAACUUACUCUUUAACACCACCACCAGAAAAGCAAUAAAGAGAAAACUAAGUCAAGAAAAACACGAUUUGAAGCAAAAGCACAAACAGGUAGAAUGCAAAAAUGAAAAGGAUACGCAAGAUAUUGACUUUCAUUUUCUGAUGAUGAAGUUAGGGUUUGGGACGAAGAAGAUUUGAAUUGAAAAGGAGA
This 3174-nucleotide long non-coding RNA is filed under the name Medicago truncatula (barrel medic). Its description in RNAcentral is "long non-coding RNA (MTRU_LNC004609)". Lineage: Eukaryota; Viridiplantae; Streptophyta; Magnoliopsida; Fabales; Fabaceae. The record is from RNAcentral.